UCGGGAAUUUUGCGCAAUGGACGAAAGUCUGACGCAGCAACGCCGCGUGAGGGAUGACGGCCUUCGGGUUGUAAACCUCUUUAUCAGGGAAGAUCAUGACGGUACCUGAUGAAUAAGUCACGGCUAACUACGUGCCAGCAGCCGCGGUAAUACGUAGGUGACAAGCGUUGUCCGGAUUUACUGGGCGUAAAGAGCGCGCAGGCGGUCGAUCAAGUCGAGUGUGAAAGCCCCCGGCUCAACUGGGGAGGGUCAUUCGAAACUGGUCGACUCGAAGGCAGGAGAGGGUAGUGGAAUUCCCGGUGUAGUGGUGAAAUGCGUAGAUAUCGGGAGGAACACCAGUGGCGAAGGCGACUACCUGGCCUGUUCUUGACGCUGAGGCGCGAAAGCUAGGGGAGCAAACGGGAUUAGAUACCCCCGUAGUCCCUGAGCGGGCUGGCAAGGCGCAU
RNAcentral lists this ribosomal RNA (446 nucleotides) under uncultured bacterium. RNAcentral's name for it is "bacterial SSU rRNA". It matches the Rfam family "Bacterial small subunit ribosomal RNA", at positions 355 to 825 of the family's 1533-position model. The record is from RNAcentral.